This is a long non-coding RNA of Diabrotica virgifera virgifera (western corn rootworm), 5433 nucleotides long. RefSeq lists it as uncharacterized. Lineage: Eukaryota; Metazoa; Arthropoda; Insecta; Coleoptera; Chrysomelidae. The transcript is spliced from 2 exons. The record is from RefSeq and is a predicted model, not a curated record.
AUCAGUAAGCUCACUCCUCGAAAAAUUUGUUCCAUGCGCGAAGUCGGCCAAAAUUCUUUUUCCCGUGCGCAUCCGAUAACAGCGUGUUUGAUACGUUUGCUACGAUUGGUCGGGAUCGUCAUCUGAUUUUAUUUUGUGAAUUUUUUGAGGUUGUGUUUUUGAAUUGUAUUGUUUUGGUUAAUUUACUACUUUAUUUUCAUAUUAAUAAUAGGUAGUUAUGUAUAUUAAUAUGUGCUGUGAAUGUGAUAUUAUUUUCUUAAAUCAGUAAAAUGGAACUAAAGCAAGCAGAAAACUAUUUUUACAAAGAAGAAUGUAAAAUUAAAAUCGAAAAUACUAACAACCCCUGUGAUGCUGUAAUUAUGUUCCUAUUCUGUUAAAACCCAGAUAAAGAGAGUCUUUACAACUGAUAAAAAUAGUUAUUUCUAUGAUGAAAAUUCUUUGGACCAAAUAAAUAGAGAAGUUAUUAUUGAAGACAUCAAAAUAAAAGAAGUAAUGCAUGUCGAAAAUGAUUUUCUUUAUGAUACAAGAAGAACUGAAGUUAUUAUAAAACCAGUGGCUGAACAUUCAUGACAAAAAGAACAACCCAUUAAGUAGCCAGUAUGCAAAAGCAACAAUUAAAUUGUGAAAUUUGUUGUAGACCUGUGUGAAGAAACAUUUAAGAGCACACACUGGAGGAAAACUUUAUCAAUGUGAAAUUUGUGUUAAGCAUUUUACUCUAAAAUCUAAUCUAAAUCAGCAUAAAUAUGUCAGUUCAUAUUUCGAUACAGUGGUAAAAACCUUAUGAAUGCAACAUUUGUGGUAAGCAAUUGACUGCAAAAACAAAUUUAAAUAAUCACAUAAAAGUUCACACUGAAGGAGAAAAGUCCCACAAACAUGAAAUUUAGUCCACUAUUUUUACUUUUUAUUACUGCAGCAUGAUUCUUGGAAAUUUAUUGUCUUCUUUGUUUUAUACCCUUGAUCAGCUUGUAAAUGGUUUUUGUUUAACUGUCCUUUUAGUUAUAUUUUAUUUCAUCCUAAUUCUUGCACAUUUUCAUUUUUAAUUUGUCACAUGUACCGCAUGUAUUUUUCUUAGGUUUCUUUACACUGAUAUCAGGCUGUAAAAUAUGUUUUCAUAUAUUUUAUGAUUAAUCAAAUUAUCUGGAUACAUCUUCUUCUAAGGUUUAGGUAUAGAAAGCAGUGAUAGUGUAGAGUGAAGGUAAAUAUUUCCUCGAUGACUGCCUUCUUUUCAUAUUUAAUCAUAUUCAGUUGUUUUCUUUAGACAUUCUUCAAUUUUCACUUAUUAGGUAUACACAGUGUGUCUGCGUAACUUGGAACCAUAUGGAAAACUUUUUUUUAUUAUCAAUGUUACCAAAAAAAGUUAUUCUUCAUAAACUGAUCUGCUUAGUCUAAAACUUAAACUGCAAUCAUCAGAUUUCAACCUUUUGUCAACAGUAUACGAGGUAUGUCAAAAAAUAUGAAUUUCGCUCAAGAGCAUGCUCAAGUACCUUUAUUUUUCACAAUGUUGAAAAUUAUUAUUAUAAAAAGUUGUUCGAGAUUAAAUACUAUGUUUCAAUAUGCAAUUACAUCCUUCUAAUUGAAAUAUUGUAAACUAUAAUAGUACCUACUUUACUCAUGAGCGAAAUUCAUUUUUUUACAUACCUCGUAUAAAACUGAUAAAAUUGGAUAUAUAUUAUGAUUGCAUCUUAGUUUUUAGACCAUAUUGACCUUUUUAUAAAAUAUAAUUUUUUUGGUAAAAAUAAUUAUCAUAAAUAAAAAUGAUGUUGGUUGAUACCAUUACAGGAAGGGGCUUGCAUCCAGAUUAUGUCAAAUGUUUGCAGUUUCCACAAUAUUUUUCAAUGUACAUCAUGUGACAAUACACAACAGCCUCUUAGAUUUUUUCUUGACAAGUGACCACUUAGCAUAGAUGAAACUAGUGGACUCUUUUCUGGUUUCAAAAGAUUGUAUAAUUGGUUAUUUGAAUGACUAUUGAGAAUUUUCUUGGGUGAGACAAUUUGCACAAGGAUUUGACUCGGGAAUGCUGUUCACAAUAUAAUAUAUUGUUCAUAUUAUUCAGUCUACCGAAACAGCUAUAUCUUCAAAUAUUAAUAAAUGCUGGUCUUUUGUAAACAAUGAAAGAAAAAAUAGUGCUUUUCCUAGUGGACUCAGGCAAAGAUAUUGCAAAUUUAUUUGCUGAUUAUUUUUGCACUUUAUUCUCACAGUAAUCUGAAUGUGCCUGGUCAUGAACUAUCUUCAUCCGAUAUUAAUAUAACUAAACAUAUAAUUUUAAUAUCAGCUCUCUUUUCUUGAUAUUAAUAAGGGCCCAGUAUACCUCCUCUGUUUUUAAAGAAAUGCAGUUUUAACCUUUCCAGGCCGCGAAUUUACAAAACCUAUAUUGUCCUUUUCAUGAGCAUUUUUCAGUGCAUAACAAAUGAUAGGAAAAAGGGUAAGUCCGUGAUAAUACACAUUUAUGACAUUUAUUCUAACAUGACAUUUUAGUUAAAUCUGACAGUUGUCAUAUUUUAUUUUCAAUUUGGAAUAAAAACAAAUCAAAUGUGUUUCUUGCAUUUAUAAAAUGGUAUUUUCUUUGAUUUGUGUAGUCUUAUAAAUUAUACAGAUUAUAUUUGUAAUAUUAUUAUCUAAUUAAAAAAAAUUAUUUUUUUUAUUAUGGCGCCAUCUAUCGAUAACUAGAAUAACUAGAAUAAAUGUUGUAAAUGUAUGUAAUCAGCGACGUGCCUUUUUUUUUCUGUCACAUACAAUUUAAUGCGUUAGAAAGAAAUCGAAAAACUGUGACGCACUGAAAGAUGAUCAUGAGAAAAAGAAUACCAAUACACAGCAGCGACUGAAUUCGAGUAGGGUUUGUAUGCAGAAUAUUAGUUACAUAUCCUAUGCUAUUUCGGUCCAGAAAUUAACUGUAUUGGUGUAGGAUUUGCAAACCAAAUUUUUGGUUAUUACCGAGCAAAUGUUUAUACUGUUUCAGUCAUGUAAGUAAAACUAAUCAAAUAUUUACUAAAUGGAUUUAUUAUUAUGUCUAUCAUAAAAUUUAGAUAUGUUUUGAAAUUUAUAAUGAAUAAUGCAUAUUUGGAUAAUAUUAAAAAUUAAAAACAAAUGAAUAAUAACUAAUGUACGAAUAUAUACAGGAUGUCCCUGUAAGUUGGAACCAUAUGGAAAACUCUUUUAUUAUUGACUUAACGAAAAAAAGAUAUUCUUCAUAAAAAGUUCUGCAUGGUCUAAAACCGAAGAUGCAAUCAUAUGAUAUUAAGUUUUAUUAAUAGUAUAUGAGAGAUGUCAAAAAAUAUGAAUUUCUUUCAAGAGUAACGUAUCUUUAUACAGAGAGGGGCUAAAUUAUGGAAUAAAUUCAUUUUCUCUAAAAUGGACGACUUGGGAGAAAAAUACCGAAACAGGUCGAUUUUUAUUUUUAAAUUAUAAUUUUUUUGCACAUAUUUCAUAAUAGUGACGUCGUCCAUCUGAGCUUGAUGACGUAAUCGAUGAUUUUUUUAAAUGGGAAUAUGGGUCAUGUGGCACCUCAUUUGAAAGGGUGUUCAAUUCGCUAUUUAAUAAUAUAAACACAAAUAUCAUUAUUUAUACAGGGUGGCCAAAAAAAUUUUUGAAUUAUAUUAAUUGACGAAAAAAGAAGAAUGCAUGCAAUUUAUUUAAAUCAAAAUACAUUUUAUUGCUAUCAAUAAAUAGAAAAAAUGUUUAUUUCACAAAUAAACAUUUCUUCUUGCUUAAAUUAAAUCACAAACAGCCUCCCACGUACAUACCUCUUGGCAGUUUGAACAUUUAAUUUAAGCCAAAAACCAAUGUUUAUUUGCCAAAUAAACAGUUUUUUCUAGUUUCUGACAGCGAUAGACAGGCCCGACCAGAGGGGGGCAGGGGGCAAAAUCCCCGGGGCCCGGGCCCGGCCGUUAGCAAAUUUUAAAAAAUUCCUUUUAUUAAAAUAUUUUACAACAGAUUGAAUUUGCUUGCGGUUUUAAUUAUGAAAUUAUUAUGAAAUGAUUUACUUGAAAACUGUUAGUAAAUCAAACAUCUCAGAUAUGUCGCUGAAACCAGCAAAACUUUUGAACAAGCUCGUGUCCCUUAAUGUGACAAAUCUUUUCCCCAAUGUGUGCAUUGCUCUUCGCAUAUUCUGUUGGCUACCAGUAUCCGUUGCUCAGGCCGAGAGAUCAUUUAGUGUUUUGAGCCGAAUUAAGAAUUGUUUAAGAUCUACUAUGGGUCAACAACGAUUAUCUGAUUUGGGACUGUUAAGCAUAGAGUCGAAACUUGCAAAAACUCUUGAUUUCGACCACGUGAUCCAAAACUUUGCGGAUAUGAAAGCAAGAAAAGUUAUGUUGUAACUAACAGUUCUAUUGUAAAUAAUUAAAAACAAAGUUUAAUUGUUAAAACUGUUUUAAUUUUCUUCCUUCCUGUGUCAAUAGCAUGAGUGUUCACUAUUACAUAUCCCAGUUUAUGAGUUAUCAGAUUUUUGGGAAUUUUCGUUCAACUGGGUUUUGGGGGGGGGGCGGCGGCUGGGUCUCAUCCCCGGGGCCCGGCCUGGCUCUGGGCGGCCCUGGCGAUAGAAAGUAUUUUGAUUUAAAUAAAUUGCAUGCAUUCUUCUUUUUUCGUCAAUUAAUAUACAGUGGAACCCCGAUAAGUCGGCCCCCGAUAACCCGGAAGUCCGGCUAACCCGGACCGAUUUUCAUCAGACAAAAAUUUAACAAAUAAACAAUUUAACAAUUUUAUCAAAUAAAAAUGUAUGUAGGCCAAAUAAUAUUUCAGAGAUAAUGUGUAUUUGUGUAAUUUGAACACAUAAGUACAAUAGUAAAAAGAUUCAUGCACACGGCGGCAGCCAGAGCGACCGUCUCAGCUUAUCGGAAAGAACAGACACCUGUCUGUAUUCCUUUUUCUUUAUUUAUGUCAAACUGUCUUAGCAUUGUUUAAAAAAGACGUGACUAUUUAAAAAUUCUUGUAUUGUGUGUAGUACAGCCUAUUAAUCACUUCCGUUCUGUAAUGUAAUCGUGCUUCAGAUUGUGUUUGCUUUGUCUACGUAAUGGUAACAAAACGUAAAAAUGUUUACAUUAGGUAGGAUUGAUAAAGACGAAUCUUUAAAAUAAAUGUAUUGCAGCAUCAUAAUAUGAUAUUAUGCUACCAUAGGUCUGGAUCCCGCGUAUGAAAAAAUAGUUGAUUAAUAGCAAGCUAAAAAUGUAUUAAUAGCUUAAGGGUGUCUAGUCGGAUAAACUUUGAUAUAUGAGAACACUGGAACAGGGGCAGUUUUAAUUGUGGAACAGGUCAAAAAUUUGGAACGGUCAGAACACGAAAAUGGCACAUUUGUUUUGUCCGACAGAACAGACUUAAACUCUCCGAACAGAGAUUAAACUCUCAUGCAAAAAUCAGACUGCUAUUUAUCACCUGUCAUAAUUCCUGUCAUUUGACAUAUUCUACAUGUUCCACUCAUUAAAACGCCAAUUUGGUGAUAAA